CUACGGGAUGCAGCAGUGAGGAAUAUUGCGCAAUGGGGGAAACCCUGACGCAGCGACGCCGCGUGGAUGAUGAAGGCCUUCGGGUCGUAAAAUCCUGUCAGAAGGAAAGAAGUGUAUGGUAGCUAAUAUCUGCCAUACUUGACGGUACCUUCAAAGGAAGCACCGGAUAACUCCGUGCCAGCAGCCGCGGUAAUACGGAGGGUGCAAGCGUUGUUCGGAAUUACUGGGCGUAAAGCGCGCGUAGGCGGUUUUAUAAGUCAGAUGUGAAAGUCCACGGCUCAACCAUGGAAGUGCAUUUGAAACUGUAAGACUUGAGUAUUGGAGGGGGUAGUGGAAUUCCCGGUGUAGAGGUGAAAUUCGUAGAUAUCGGGAGGAAUACCGGUGGCGAAGGCGACUAUCUGGCCAAAUACUGACGCUGAGGUGCGAAAGCGUGGGGAGCAAACAGGAUUAGAUACCCGCGUAGUC
Molecule: ribosomal RNA, 465 nt
Filed under: uncultured bacterium
Lineage: Bacteria
Description: partial 16S ribosomal RNA
Rfam family: Bacterial small subunit ribosomal RNA
Source: RNAcentral